CAGUGAGAUCCUGUCAACAACAACAACAAUAACAAAACACAAAGAAAAAGUUUGGAUGUCACUGUUUUCCCGCUAAUGUCCUUUUGUUCUUUCAGGAUCCAAUUCACAAUACUUUUGGUACAUUGGCUGUAUAUAUAGAUGUAAAGGGCUGCAUAGGCUGUACACUGCACUACUCUGGGGGUGCCAUUUACAUUGCUGUGCCAGGCACUGUUCAUAAUGCUUUACAUCUAUUAACUUGUUUAGUCAUCACGGAAGCUCUAAAAGGACCAGAAACCAGAAAUGCAAUUUGC
This 290-nucleotide long non-coding RNA is filed under the name Homo sapiens (human). RNAcentral describes it as "HSALNT0044352". The record is from RNAcentral. Lineage: Eukaryota; Metazoa; Chordata; Mammalia; Primates; Hominidae.